RNAcentral lists this ribosomal RNA (482 nucleotides) under uncultured bacterium. RNAcentral describes it as "partial 16S ribosomal RNA". It matches the Rfam family "Bacterial small subunit ribosomal RNA", at positions 30 to 507 of the family's 1533-position model. The record is from RNAcentral.
AUUGAACGCUGGCGGCAUGCCUUACACAUGCAAGUCGAACGGUAACGGGCCUUCGGGUGCCGACGAGUGGCGUACGGGUGAGUAAUACAUCGGAACGUGCCCGAUCGUGGGGGAUAACGAGGCGAAAGCUUUGCUAAUACCGCAUACGAUCUACGGAUGAAAGCAGGGGACCGCAAGGCCUUGCGCGGACGGAGCGGCCGAUGGCAGAUUAGGUAGUUGGUGGGAUAAAAGCUUACCAAGCCGACGAUCUGUAGCUGGUCUGAGAGGAUGAUCAGCCACACUGGGACUGAGACACGGCCCAGACUCCUACGGGAGGCAGCAGUGGGGAAUGUUGGACAAUGGGCGCAAGCCUGAUCCAGCCAUGCCGCGUGCAGGAUGAAGGCCUUCGGGUUGUAAACUGCUUUUGUACGGAACGAAAAGCCUUCUUUUAAUACAGGAGGGUCAUGACGGUACCGUAAGAAUAAGCACCGGCUAACUACGUG